GACGAACGCUGGCGGCGUGCCUAAUACAUGCAAGUCGAACGCUUCUUUCCUCCCGAGUGCUUGCACUCAAUUGGAAAGAGGAGUGGCGGACGGGUGAGUAACACGUGGGUAACCUACCCAUCAGAGGGGGAUAACACUUGGAAACAGGUGCUAAUACCGCAUAACAGUUUAUGCCGCAUGGCAUAAGAGUGAAAGGCGCUUUCGGGUGUCGCUGAUGGAUGGACCCGCGGUGCAUUAGCUAGUUGGUGAGGUAACGGCUCACCAAGGCCACGAUGCAUAGCCGACCUGAGAGGGUGAUCGGCCACACUGGGACUGAGACACGGCCCAGACUCCUACGGGAGGCAGCAGUAGGGAAUCUUCGGCAAUGGACGAAAGUCUGACCGAGCAACGCCGCGUGAGUGAAGAAGGUUUUCGGAUCGUAAAACUCUGUUGUUAGAGAAGAACAAGGACGUUAGUAACUGAACGUCCCCUGACCGGUAUCUAACCAGAAAGCCACGGCUAAC
This 503-nucleotide ribosomal RNA is filed under the name uncultured bacterium. RNAcentral's name for it is "bacterial SSU rRNA". It matches the Rfam family "Bacterial small subunit ribosomal RNA", at positions 28 to 501 of the family's 1533-position model. The record is from RNAcentral.